Rhinichthys klamathensis goyatoka is the source of this 343-nucleotide long non-coding RNA. RefSeq lists it as uncharacterized. The record is from RefSeq and is a predicted model, not a curated record. The transcript is spliced from 4 exons. NCBI's taxonomy places the organism in Eukaryota, Metazoa, Chordata, Actinopteri, Cypriniformes, Leuciscidae.
UGUGACUGUUCUGAUGUGUUUGUCUCUUCCUGCCUUUUUUCAGGUCUGCAGAUGCCUCCACCACCUGCAUAUGAGUCAACACCACACAGAAAACCAGCCAGUCACCCAGAAUUGAAUGGGUCUAUUGUGACGCAAGCUCAGCCUGAAGAACUCAUCACACAGAGGGAGGUGGCUCAGCCAUGGAGAUGGAAAAGAGAGCCGUGAGGACAUCCAUUACCCGCAUGGCACAGCAGAUGGACGCAUUUGAGGAGAAGAUGGAGCAGAAGAUGGAUGAGCUGCUCAUGCUCUUAAGGAGCUCCCAGUCACCUCCCUCUGCUCCAGUCGAUGACAUGUUGCUGUCGCC